This 200-nucleotide long non-coding RNA is filed under the name Elaeis guineensis (African oil palm). Its description in RNAcentral is "long non-coding RNA (EGUI_LNC023643)". The record is from RNAcentral. Lineage: Eukaryota; Viridiplantae; Streptophyta; Magnoliopsida; Arecales; Arecaceae.
GUUUGGUAAUUGGUUGAUGAUUUUAUAUUCCUGUUGUCAUUUUUGUAUUUCAUAUUUUGUACUUGUUUGAUCAAACUUAUUGGGAACAUGUUUGCUCUUUCAGAAAUUUAUCAACACACAUAUUCAUGCUUCCUGUUUCAUGCAUUUAUUUUUGCUUUCAGGUAACUUAGUGAUUAAUGCACGGUCUCUCACUCUCACUC